GUGUCGUCGCUAACGCUUUAAGUUACCCGCCUGGGGAGUACGGCCGCAAGGUUAAAACUCAAAGGAAUUGACGGGGACCCGCACAAGCGGUGGAUUAUGUGGAUUAAUUCGAUGCAACGCGAAAAACCUUACCUACCCUUGACAUGUGCGGAAGGGGGUAGAGAUACCUCGGUGCCCGAAAGGGAACCGCAACACAGGUGCUGCAUGGCUGUCGUCAGCUCGUGUCGUGAGAUGUUGGGUUAAGUCCCGCAACGAGCGCAACCCUUGCCAUUAGUUGCUACAUUCAGUUGGGCACUCUAAUGGGACUGCCGGUGACAAACCGGAGGAAGGUGGGGAUGACGUCCCACAGACUAUAC
This 356-nucleotide unclassified non-coding RNA is filed under the name uncultured Gammaproteobacteria bacterium. RNAcentral describes it as "contains 16S-23S intergenic spacer region". It matches the Rfam family "Bacterial small subunit ribosomal RNA", at positions 843 to 1205 of the family's 1533-position model. Lineage: Bacteria; Pseudomonadati; Pseudomonadota; Gammaproteobacteria. The record is from RNAcentral.